GCACUAGUAGCUCAGACUCAGAGCGUCGGUCUUGUAAACCGAAUGUCGAGGGUUAAAAUCCCCCCUUGUGCU
RNAcentral lists this transfer RNA (72 nucleotides) under Polyspina piosae (orangebarred puffer). RNAcentral's name for it is "tRNA-Thr". It matches the Rfam family "tRNA". From Rfam's summary of the family: Transfer RNA (tRNA) molecules are approximately 80 nucleotides in length. Their secondary structure includes four short double-helical elements and three loops (D, anti-codon, and T loops). Lineage: Eukaryota; Metazoa; Chordata; Actinopteri; Tetraodontiformes; Tetraodontidae. The record is from RNAcentral.